UCGCUCCUAUCCACCCAGCAGGCUCUACCCAGUGCCCACCCUGCCCACUUCUCUUUCUUAUCUAAUGACAGGAUCUGCUGGUGCUCACUCCGCCCACUUCUCUCCCCCAGCCAAUCCGCGAGCUCUGCCAGUGCGAGGGACCUGAGGAAAAGGGGCCUCCACAAUCCCAAGAGACAAUCCAAGGACCGUGGGAGCUGCUGGCCUCAGCCCCGGACUCCCCUGGAGCUGAGACAGUUUCAAAGCCACUGGCGGCCAGACGGAGUCUCGGAGUCUCACUCUGUCGCUAAGGCUGGAGUGCAAACGUGCAAUGUCG
This is a long non-coding RNA of Rhinopithecus roxellana (golden snub-nosed monkey), 313 nucleotides long. RefSeq lists it as uncharacterized. The transcript is spliced from 3 exons. NCBI's taxonomy places the organism in Eukaryota, Metazoa, Chordata, Mammalia, Primates, Cercopithecidae. The record is from RefSeq and is a predicted model, not a curated record.